Molecule: transfer RNA, 49 nt
Filed under: Jurinea humilis
Lineage: Eukaryota; Viridiplantae; Streptophyta; Magnoliopsida; Asterales; Asteraceae
Also listed under: 2 other names
Description: partial tRNA-Leu
Source: RNAcentral
GGGGAUAUGGCGAAAUCGGUAGACGCUACGGACUUAAAAAAUCCUCGAU